GCUGGCGGUAGGCUUAACACAUGCAAGUCGAGCGGUAACAGGCAUUUUGAUUCAGCUUGCUGAAUCUCGCGCUGACGAGCGGCGGACGGGUGAGUAACGCGUAGGAAUCUACCUAGUAGAAGGGGAUAGCCCGGGGAAACUCGGAUUAAUACCGUAUACGUCCUUAGGGAGAAAGAGGGCUUAGCUUUGAUGCUCUCGCUAUUAGAUGAGCCUGCGUAAGAUUAGCUUGUUGGUGAGGUAAAGGCUCACCAAGGCUACGAUCUUUAGCUGGUCUGAGAGGACGAUCAGCCACAUUGGGACUGAGACACGGCCCAGACUCCUACGGGAGGCAGCAGUGGGGAAUAUUGGACAAUGGGCGCAAGCCUGAUCCAGCCAUACCGCGUGUGUGAAGAAGGCCUUCGGGUUGUAAAGCACUUUAAGUAAGGAAGAAAAGUAUAUUAUUAAUACCAAUGUACCGUGACAUUACUUACAGAAUAAGGACCGGCUAAUUCCGUGCCAGCAGCCGCGGUAAUACGGAAGGUCCAAGCGUUAAUCGGAAUUACUGGGCGUAAAGCGCGCGUAGGUGGUUUAUUAAGUUGGGUGUGAAAGCCCCGGGCUCAACCUGGGAACUGCAUCCAAAACUGAUUCACUA
RNAcentral lists this ribosomal RNA (631 nucleotides) under uncultured Pseudomonadota bacterium. Its description in RNAcentral is "bacterial SSU rRNA". It matches the Rfam family "Bacterial small subunit ribosomal RNA", at positions 35 to 643 of the family's 1533-position model. Lineage: Bacteria; Pseudomonadati; Pseudomonadota. The record is from RNAcentral.